GUGGGGAAUCUUCCGCAAUGGACGAAAGUCUGACGGAGCAACGCCGCGUGAGUGAUGAAGGUCUUCGGAUUGUAAAGCUCUGUUAAUCGGGACGAAAGAGCCUAGUGUGAAUAAUGCUAGGAAGUGACGGUACCGGAAUGGAAAGCCACGGCUAACUACGUGCCAGCAGCCGCGGUAAUACGUAGGUGGCAAGCGUUGUCCGGAAUUAUUGGGCGUAAAGCGCGCGCAGGCGGAUCUGCCAGUCUGUCUUAAAAGUUCGGGGCUUAACCCCGUGAUGGGAUGGAAACUACAGAUCUAGAGGAGCGGAGAGGAAAGUGGAAUUCCUAGUGUAGCGGUGAAAUGCGUAGAUAUUAGGAAGAACACCAGUGGCGAAGGCGACUUUCUGGACGAAAACUGACGCUGAGGCGCGAAAGCCAGGGGAGCGAACGGGAUUAGAUACCCGUGUAGUCC
RNAcentral lists this ribosomal RNA (450 nucleotides) under uncultured bacterium. RNAcentral describes it as "partial 16S ribosomal RNA". It matches the Rfam family "Bacterial small subunit ribosomal RNA", at positions 354 to 796 of the family's 1533-position model. The record is from RNAcentral.